UAGCAGAUGUUUCACACUCAGGAAAAC
This 27-nucleotide non-coding RNA is filed under the name Mus musculus (house mouse). The record is from RNAcentral. Lineage: Eukaryota; Metazoa; Chordata; Mammalia; Rodentia; Muridae.